UGUGGGAGCUGGCUUGCCUGCGAUAGCGGUGGGUCAGUUGAUGCAUUUGUUACUGAUGCACCGCUAUCGCAGGCAAGCCAGCUCCCACA
RNAcentral lists this unclassified non-coding RNA (89 nucleotides) under Pseudomonas cedrina. The record is from RNAcentral. Lineage: Bacteria; Pseudomonadati; Pseudomonadota; Gammaproteobacteria; Pseudomonadales; Pseudomonadaceae.